UGUGCUAUUUGAGACCACUUGUUGCCUAACAAGCGAUGGAGGGUGAGGAUUGUUUCUUCCUCUUGUAAAGAAAACAUGCCUCGUUUUAGUCCUGGUCUCAAGUAAUUAAUCCAUCUCAAUCGGCAGCUCUUCCCGUUCCGCUGCAGACCGGCGUUAAUGGGGACGGAGCUCCAACAGCCAUGGCCAUGUUUGAGGACGUAGUUUCUGAGCCUUUGGUCUUCUUCAGGUGACCACAAGCCCUUCCUGUGCUUUGGCUUUGGCUUUGGCUUGUCUGAAGACCUGCAACCCAUUCACCCUCAGAAAG
This 304-nucleotide unclassified non-coding RNA is filed under the name Hevea brasiliensis (rubber tree). Lineage: Eukaryota; Viridiplantae; Streptophyta; Magnoliopsida; Malpighiales; Euphorbiaceae. The record is from RNAcentral.